RNAcentral lists this ribosomal RNA (253 nucleotides) under uncultured bacterium. RNAcentral describes it as "partial 16S ribosomal RNA". It matches the Rfam family "Bacterial small subunit ribosomal RNA", at positions 524 to 776 of the family's 1533-position model. The record is from RNAcentral.
UACAGAGGUCUCAAGCGUUGUUCGGAUUCAUUGGGCGUAAAGGGUGCGUAGGUGGCAGGGUAAGUCGGAUGUGAAAUCCCGGGGCUCAACCUCGGAACUGCAUUCGAUACUGCUUUGCUGGAGUACUGGAGAGGAGAUUGGAAUUUACGGUGUAGCAGUGAAAUGCGUAGAUAUCGUAAGGAAGACCAGUGGCGAAGGCGGAUCUCUGGACAGUUACUGACACUGAGGCACGAAGGCCAGGGGAGCAAACGGG